GACGAACCGUGCGAACGUUAUUCGGAAUCAUUGGGCUUAAAGGGCGCGUAGGCGGCGGUGUAAGUUGGAAGUGAAAUCCCAUCGGCUCAACCGUGGAAUUGCUCCCAGUACUGCAUCGCUCGAGGGGGAUAGGGGUCUGCGGAACUACCGGUGGAGCGGUGAAAUGCGUUGAUAUCAUUAGGAACUCCGGUGGCGAAGGCGGCGCACUGGUCCUUUUCUGACGCUGAGGCGCGAAAGCCAGGGGAGCAAACGGG
RNAcentral lists this ribosomal RNA (254 nucleotides) under uncultured bacterium. RNAcentral's name for it is "partial 16S ribosomal RNA". It matches the Rfam family "Bacterial small subunit ribosomal RNA", at positions 524 to 776 of the family's 1533-position model. The record is from RNAcentral.